UCUGAGCUGGUAUGAAAUCGGCAAAAUGCUUGGUGAGGGAGGAUUCGGCUAUGUCUAUGAAGGGAAACGCUUGGAGAUUGUCGUUGAGGUGGCAGUGAAAAUUACCAACAAGCCAAGGAACAUGAAAUACAUCUAUGUUUUAAGCUGGCUUUUAACUCCUUGUUAAUUAAGAGUCCAGAGUUACUGAGAUCAAUCAGCUGCUGGACUGGCAGGACCAGCUUGAAUGUUACAUCAUGGUCUCAGACCCUGCUAAGAUGUGUACAAUUAUACCAUGCUUCAGGGAGGCUUCGUGAGCGAGGUCACAGCACAGUUUAUCAUGGCACAGGCAACACAGGCCACUCACAUGUGCUGUCAAUGAGGAGUAUUUCACCGGGACAUAAAGAUGGAGAACCUUCUGAUCAACCCAGAAACGAUCGAGGUCAAACUGAUUGACUUUGGGUGUAGGGAUCUCCUGCAAGACUCUGGCUAUGAGCAAUGUUGUGUGAAAAUUUGUAGUAUUUUAAGCUUACGUCAAAGCAAAAUCUCAUUCCUUCGGGCACAUCAGAGUACUGCCCACCUGAGUACUACGUGGACAAACAGUACCAUAGGAAACCAACUAUUGUAUGGUCUCUGGGAAUGCUCUUGUUUUUGUUGGUCAAAGACAGAGCUGACUGGUUACAGCGUCUGGUUGAACAGUAAGAUGCCAUUCAUCACAACAAAGAAGACCAACUGUAAAUGAAAUCAUGCAAAACAAGGAAACAGAGGAACAGGUAAAACACUUAGGCCAAGUAGCUAUAUAAAAGAUGGAUAAUACAGAAAUUGUACUUUUUUUCUGAUUGUACAGUGUAGAAUGGUCAG
Cyprinus carpio carpio is the source of this 837-nucleotide long non-coding RNA. The record is from Ensembl. Lineage: Eukaryota; Metazoa; Chordata; Actinopteri; Cypriniformes; Cyprinidae.